UACGGAGGGGGCUAGCGUUGUUCGGAAUUACUGGGCGUAAAGCGCGCGUAGGCGGAUCUGCAAGUCGGGGGUGAAAUCCCGAGGCUCAACCUCGGAACUGCCUUCGAUACUGCGGGUCUCGAGUCCGGGAGAGGUGAGUGGAAUUCCUAGUGUAGAGGUGAAAUGCGCAGAUAUCGGGAGGAACACCGGUGGCGAAGGCGGUUCUCUGGGCCUGACCUGACGCUGAGGAGCGAAAGCGUGGGGAGCGAACAGG
This 253-nucleotide ribosomal RNA is filed under the name uncultured bacterium. Its description in RNAcentral is "partial 16S ribosomal RNA". It matches the Rfam family "Bacterial small subunit ribosomal RNA", at positions 524 to 776 of the family's 1533-position model. The record is from RNAcentral.